RNAcentral lists this transfer RNA (73 nucleotides) under Pseudomonadota bacterium. RNAcentral's name for it is "tRNA-Thr". It matches the Rfam family "tRNA". From Rfam's summary of the family: Transfer RNA (tRNA) molecules are approximately 80 nucleotides in length. Their secondary structure includes four short double-helical elements and three loops (D, anti-codon, and T loops). Further hydrogen bonds mediate the characteristic L-shaped molecular structure. tRNAs have two regions of fundamental functional importance: the anti-codon, which is responsible for specific mRNA codon recognition, and the 3' end, to which the tRNAs corresponding amino acid is attached (by aminoacyl-tRNA synthetases). tRNAs cope with the degeneracy of the genetic code in two manners: having more than one tRNA (with a specific anti-codon) for a particular amino acid; and 'wobble' base-pairing, i.e. permitting non-standard base-pairing at the 3rd anti-codon position. The record is from RNAcentral. Lineage: Bacteria; Pseudomonadati; Pseudomonadota. RNAcentral also lists the same sequence under 1 other name.
CAUCCCUAGCUCAAUCGGGUAGAGCACUGGACUCGUAAUCCGGCGGUCGCGGGUUCGACUCCCGCGGGAUGCC